Molecule: ribosomal RNA, 500 nt
Filed under: uncultured bacterium
Lineage: Bacteria
Description: bacterial SSU rRNA
Rfam family: Bacterial small subunit ribosomal RNA
Source: RNAcentral
UCAGGAUGAACGCUAGCGGCAGGCCUAACACAUGCAAGUCAGGGGCAGCACAAGGAGCAAUCUGAGGUGGCGACCGGCGCACGGGUGAGUAACACGUAUGCAACCUGCCUGUAAGCGGGGAAUAACCCGUUGAAAGACGGACUAAUACCGCAUAAUACUAAAUUACUGCAUGGUAAUUUAUUUAAACAUUUAUGGCUUACAGAUGGGCAUGCGCAUGAUUAGCUAGUUGGAGAGGUAACGGCUCCCCAAGGCAACGAUCAUUAGGGGUUCUGAGAGGAAGGUCCCCCCACACUGGUACUGAGACACGGACCAGACUCCUACGGGAGGCAGCAGUGAGGAAUAUUGGUCAAUGGACGAGAGUCUGAACCAGCCAAGUCGCGUGCAGGAAGAAUUGUCCUAUGGAUUGUAAACUGCUUUUGCAGGGGAAUAAAGUGCAUCACGUGUGAUGUUUUGUAUGUACUCUGCGAAUAAGGAUCGGCUAACUCCGUGCCAGCCGCCGC